UGGGAUUUACAUAUGUGCACUGAGAAUAUCUAAUAAUAAUCGCUUUGUAAAUAAGGAUGCAUUACGAAAGAAAUUAAAUGCGCAAGAGACUGUGGUAAUAUUUUCCCUUUGAUACUAUAAUACUGUACAUGGCGUCCAGGUCAUUUUCAUUUCUCUUAGAAUAAAAACCUUAGUAUAACAGUUUUAGUAAAUAAUAUGCUACAGUCCAGUUACAGCUUGUUCUGAUCAAGUAAAAAUAAAAAAAUAAGUAUUUAUUUGGGUGUGUGUGCAGGACAGAGAAAUAGCAAUUCUUACACUAUUGUUCAGGAUGAAUGGAAAAUUGUGUCAAUUCAUAAACCAUGUGCCAUCAAAAAUCUCUUCAACUAUUUUGAAAUCUACAUGGCUCGCCGCCAAUAAUUACAUUUAGAGUAUUGGAGGAUUCUAAAUUAAUAUGCAAGGGGCAUUUUUUGUUAGAGCAAAUCUGGAAAAUGACAUGCGCAAGAGAUUGUGGUAAUAUUUUUCCUCUUAGAGAAUAUUAAACAGACAUUCAAUGACAUCAGCAAGAGAUAUGCUGGACCCAAUGUCAGAGAGGUGUUUUUGGGACCACAUCGUGUCAAUUGUCCUGCUAAUAGCGCUUGUGAAAAACAAGUGUUUGAAAACAUUAACGAUAUUUCAGAGCUUAUUUUGUUUUCAAAUAACAGAAAGUUACUGGCUGUACUAGAGAAUUGAAAACCUAUUUUAAAUUCCUACAUAUAGUAUACGAGAUUGAUUUUAAGAAAUGUAGCUUAAUUAAUUUGAUUAAUGUGCCAAGAAAAACGAAACCCUCAGGAAAAUAUACAUGACCUUUAUUUAACUAGGCAAGUCAGUUAAGAACAAAUUCGUAUUUACAAUGACAGCCUACACCGGCCUAUGGGAUUCCCAAUCACGGCCAGUUGUGAUACAGCUAACCUAACUAAGAAAUGCAUUUGACGAUACAAUUCUCCCCCUACCCUCCUUCAUGGCAAGAAUAUAUUGUCCUGCUAAUAGCCCAUAAUGGCGCUGUACAAUGUGACCGGUUUGGAGUAGGCUACACUACUACAGUAAGAACAAAAUAAUCCUAACAUUUUGUCACAAGAAUUUUCAAUCCCAAUGAUGAUUGCAAUCACUAUAGCUUUGACCAAUUCCCCCUAGGUUGUAAAGCUAGGGUUAAUAAGAAUUAGGCAAAGUCUCAGAUUCUGCAAAAGGUUCGUUGUGGUUUAUUCAUGAGAGCUCUAAAAACCAUAUAAUGCACAUAGCCUUUUAUAUAACUCCUACAAGCACCUACAAGUCUACAAGCACAUCUGUUCCUCCCUGGAUGGAGGAACUUUAUCUCCUGUCCUUGGUCUCACAGGACCAAAACAUGUCUGUUGUCAGUUCCUCUUUAUCACACACAAACACAAUGUUUCCACUGUCUCACAAUAUUCUAGUAUUAUAUCUAAACACAUUGUCUAAGCUUCUGUAACUAUUAGGGUGAAGUACUUUAGUCAUUACUCUUAAUGUCAUUCAGAUUAUUUUAUUAUUACUUUAAACACAUACAUUCCCUUAUCACAUUUCCACACCCUAAUUGUAGUCGAACAAACAUCCACACGGAGAUUCAGGGAAAAUAAAAAUCUCAAUGAUUUAUCAAGACCAGUCCCAUGCUUGUCUCGACCUGCCGUUUCCCCUCACCUCUACCAUUAAUUUGGAAAAUAUUGAAAAUAUUGAAAUUUUCCAGUAAGCAACAAUGUUUACAUACAUUAGCCUACUUUAUUUCAAUAUUUCUGUCAUUCAGUGAUAUUUCUUCAUUAUGGAUCCAUAUGGAAAAUGACAUGUGCAAGAGGUGGUGGUAAUAUUUUUCCUUUUAGAGACUAUAAUAUGACAUCCAGGUCAGGAUAACCAAAACAUUUCUUUAUUAAAAGACUAUCAGAAAGAAUGUUGGUACUUAUUUAUUUUGAUUCAAAGCCAUGAGUGAGUCACUCAACUUGAAGUAGGUGCCGAGGCUAUAUGACUGCGGCAUCAACUUGAUGUAGGUGCAGAGGCUAUAUGACUGCGGCAUCAACUUGAUAUAGGUGCCGAGGCUAUAUGACUGCGGCAUCAACUUGAUGUAGGUGCCGAGGCUAUAUGACUGAGUCACUCAGCUUGAUGUAGGUGCCGAGGCUAUAUGACUGCGGCAUCAACUUGAUGUAGGUGCCGAGGCUAUAUGACUGAGUCACUCAGCUUGAUGUAGGUGCCGAGGCUAUAUGACUGCGGCAUCAACUUGAUUAUAUUCAGUCAACACAUAUCUUAAGAAUAUCAUGGAAUUUUCAUUUCUCUUAGAAUAAAAACAGGAUAACAACAGUUUUACUAAAUAAUACUGACAAGUAGAAACAACAAAAGUGUGUAUUUUUCCAGGUGUGCGCGUGCAGAACAUAAGAAUAGCAAUUCUUACACUAUUGUUUUAAAUUCAAUCACCUUCUUCAUCCUCAUCAUUCAGUUAAUUGAAAUUCAAUUUUGAAGUAGUGCACAAUUAUCAGUUUCUACUUGGUUUAGAACGCCCAUUCAUUGUCAGUUAGAGCCACAGUAGAGCCUUGGGACCCAAAAUCAUAAAUCAGUGCUCUAACUCCCCCUUGCACUGGUCUGGAGAAAUGAAGCAGUGAUGCAGGGUACUGUACUAAACCACAAAUGACCUCCAGCAGUAUAAUCACAACACUUUUCAUUGAGCAACCACUAUGUGCACAGUAGCAAAGUUAACCAGCAUGUUGGUGUUGAGAACAACGUGGCGGAGGCAAGAAUACAGCUCUUGCCUUAAUUCUCUAUAAUAGUCUAUAAAUUCUCUAUAAUAGUAUAUAAAAAGUGAGUAGAGAGGAGACCAACUUAAUUAGGUCUAUAAUCAAUAGCCUAACUGUUAAAUGUGCUUGGCUUUAUAAAUCAUCCAUAUUCAUCGACAGAUCCUGCUUCUUUUUGAGUGUUUGUUUAAUAGCCUACUGAUUCCGUGAGCACUAAGCAUCACACAACAUGUCAGAUUAAACCAUUUUACAAAAUGGUCUGUUUUUAGUCUUUGCUAUGCUGCUAUAAAGGCUUCAGACUUUUUUCAUUAAAACAGCUGCUGGUAUUAUUUAAUGUAGUUUACUCUGUUCCAAAUUUUCAGAAAAACAAUAUUCAUAAUAACAAUGCUUCUUUCUUCUUGAUCUCCUUAUGUUAUCAUCAUCAUCGUUAAAGUCAUCACAGAGCAUACGAGUCAUUCAUGAUUUGAAAUGCAAAAUAAUUACCGUAAAUAAUGAACCAUUUCCUUUUGGGAAAUUGCAUUCACAAAUGAAUGUGAUGGUUUAAUCUUUGCUGUAAUAAAGGCUUUACAAAACCCCAAAAAACUUUACUCUCUAGUACACUUCUAAUAUAUUUAGUGUUGUUUACAUGGUACCAAAAUGGUCCAACAGCACUCUAGUAUUUUACACAACUUAGUCACAUUUACUCCACACAUCAGACUUCCCUUUAACCUCCCUGCGCAACCAGUAAACAUUACCGUUUCAACUUUAUUGGUCAUGUCCUCUGCAUCCAUGUUGCGGUCACGUGUUCAGAGUUUGUUAUAUACCCUGAUGAAGAUAGCUUGGCUGUCGAAACGUUGGUAAUUACAUUUUUGCAUCUGAGCUCCUAGAGUGUGCGGCUCUCUUUUAUUUUCAGAGUUUGUUAUAACCAAUUUAUUGAUUUGAUUAUGAGAUGCUAUAGGCCGGGCCCUAUUGGUCACAUGGAUGCGAUGCAUACAAGUAAAGAGAACAGGCGUUGAGGGAAUAGGGAAUGUUUUUCCGAAACAAAUGUGGGAUUUCGGUAACAGGACUUUUCAGUCAGAAAUGGCUGUAGUUAUGUUGCAGCUUCAACAACACGGACAGCAUGAUAAACACUGUUGAAGUUCUGUGGUGGUCGCUGCAGCAGGGAGGAGAGGGAGACAACAGGUGCUAGUCAGUGUCACUUGACUUUUUUUAACACAGCAAGUAGGAGCCUGAACCUUUCCCUGUGUAGGGUGCAGUCUUUCGGAUGGGACGUUAAACGGGGGUCCUGACUCUGUGGUCAUUAAAGAUCCCAUGGCACUUAUUGUAAGAGUAGGGGUGUUAACUCCUGUGUCUUGGCUAAAUUCCCAAUCUGGCCCUCAUACCAUAAACGGUCACCUAAUCAUCCCCAGCUUACAAUUGGGUCAUUCAUCCCCCCUCCUCUCCCCUGUAACUAUUACAUAGGUCAUUGCUGUAAAUGUGAAUGUAUUCUCAGUCAACUUACAUGGUAAAAUAAGGGUUCAAAAAAUAAGACCAUAGAAUUGCUUAUUUUGGACAGAUUUUGGCUUUGUCUCCUCCCCUCUUGCUCAGCUGAUCAAACAUGGUCUGCCGCAGUAGCCAGCGCAUAUUAGCUACUGAGAGCGGAGUGAUUUUAAGAAUCAGGAACUAGUGUUGGGCGGAUGAGUAAAAUCUAAAUGUUUAAAGUUCCAUGUCCUACAAGACAGACCUGUUGAGGGACGAGCAUCACGUAGGAGUGAAGUCACCUAAGGUGAGAAGAUAAUGUCAGGAUCUUAUUAAUGAAGUUUCUCAGCCUUUAACACAGUGCAACCUCACCUGCUACUGAUAUGCCUUUGUGACCGACAAUUCCUUCAGAAGGUAUACAUACUCCUCGACUUAUUCCAGAUAUAGAACACUAUAAAAGGAAAACUCUAGGUCCACAACGAAAACACCCACCCACAGCACGCACCCUUCAACAUGCUGCCGCCCGGUCGGAGAUUAAAGGUGCCACAUGCAAAAAAAAAAAAAAAAGUUUACAAAACAAUCCUUCAUCCCCCCUGCAGUGACGAUCCUCUAUGGUGAACAGACAUGGAAAAGCUCAGUGUGGAAUGUGCAUUUUUAUGUGUUUUUAUCCUUAAGUUUUUAUGUAGAUUUUUUUUAUCCGUUCAAUGCCAAGAGCGCCAAAGCAAAUUUUCCAUUUUGUGCAAACCUAAUGGACAAUUACUUUUUCUAAUGCUAAUUCUCUUUCAGCCUUCGAAGCCUACCCAACUUCACUUCAUAAAUACUUAUCACGAUUCAAUCAGUGGAUCAAAGGAAGAGAAACUCAUACAUGUUAAUCCAAGAGCGAGAAAAAUGUGUCCGUUUUACACUUUACACAAAGUAGCUGAACAAUCUAACGAACCAUGAGUAGGGUCAAAAACCAUGAAAUCCUGAUACUUGAUUCGAAAUAGAGGAAGUUUGGGAAAACUCCAUGCUCAGGGGAAAGGGCCCGCCUCGGUGCUGGAAGACAGCAGUCCAGUCCUUUUGAGGUUGAAAGGAAUUUGACCAAGUCCCCCACCUCUAGAAUGUUACGGUAAAGCAAUCACCUUUAGUUAAAAAGGUCCAAUGUAGCCCUCUCAGUAUCAAAUCAUUUAAUUGUGCUGCGCCCAUCAUUGUUGGCUCAAUAACCCACAUUUUUUGUUUAACAUUGUUGUCAGGACAAAUUCCAAAAGUAUGGAAAUCAUCUCGUGCUGCCAACUCCAUAAGGGUGGGGAUAGUAGUGAUCAAAAAUAAUUAGUGCCCAAUUUCAACGCUUCUUUGUCUAGCUAAGAUUCUUGAAUCAUUGGUAAAUGUACAACUUUGCCCUUUUUUUAAUCUGAGAAAUGUAUUUAGAAUGUAAACCAAAUCAGGGUUUAGGCCUGGUCAUAGCACUAUUAGAGCAGCCACUUUGGUUGUCAAUGCUUUAGACUCUAAAAUUAAAUGUGCUGCUUUGUUUGUGGACCUGUCAAAAGCUUUUGAUACGGUUGAUCAUGCUAUGUUAUUGAAUAAGUUGUCCUCGAUAGGCCUGAGCUCUGACACCUGUUCAUGCUUUCAUGAACAUCUUAGUGACGGAACUAAGGCCAUGGUGAUUGAUGGGGUCAAGUCCGAAAUUCUUGAAAUACAUAAAGGUGUUCCACAGGGGACAAUACUAGAACCUGUUCUUCUCAAUAUUUACAUAAAUGCUAUUGGUCAAUCUGUUAAAUUGUAAAUGUCAUCUAUAUGUGGAUUAGAGCUGCCCCCACUUAUUCGACUGGUUGAUUGAUAGGCUGUUGGUAGACCGAGAUUUCUUCGGUCGAGCAAAAGAAAAAAGUGUGUAAGUGAACUACUCCAUUGUGGAGGCUGUGGGGAUGGCACAGUCCAUCACUCUAAGACAUGUGCUACUGAAAUUGUAUAUUGUUAUAUUUUGUAAGAACAAUGGCGCAACACCAAUAAAAAUAACAUUGUUUGAUAACAAAUUCACUUUCUCCCGCGCCAGACAGCGGUCACUGUCCAGGGUUCUGGAACAUUGCGCUGUUGAAUUGGCACCUUUUCCUAGACCAUGUUGCUAUAUGAAUAAGAGCAAAGUUAACCAGCAUAUUGGUGUGGCGAACAAUGCGGCAGAGUUAGGAGACGUGAAAACAGCCAUUGCCUUAAUUGUCUAAGAAAUGUGAGGAGAGAGGAAACAGCCCUCACCUUGUCUACAGAAAGUGAUGAGAGAGGAAACAGCCCUCACCUUAUUGUCUAAGGAAAGUGAGGAGAGAGGAAACAGCUCUCACCUUAUUGUCUAAGAAAAGUGAGUAGAGAGGAAACAGCCCUCACCUUAUUGUCUAAGAAAAGUGAGUAGAGAGGAAACAGCCCUCACCUUAUUGUCUAAGAAAAGUGAGUAGAGAGGAAACAGCCCUCACC
This is a long non-coding RNA of Oncorhynchus tshawytscha (Chinook salmon), 6617 nucleotides long. The record is from Ensembl. NCBI's taxonomy places the organism in Eukaryota, Metazoa, Chordata, Actinopteri, Salmoniformes, Salmonidae.